This is a transfer RNA of 72 nucleotides. It matches the Rfam family "tRNA". From Rfam's summary of the family: Transfer RNA (tRNA) molecules are approximately 80 nucleotides in length. Their secondary structure includes four short double-helical elements and three loops (D, anti-codon, and T loops). Further hydrogen bonds mediate the characteristic L-shaped molecular structure. tRNAs have two regions of fundamental functional importance: the anti-codon, which is responsible for specific mRNA codon recognition, and the 3' end, to which the tRNAs corresponding amino acid is attached (by aminoacyl-tRNA synthetases). tRNAs cope with the degeneracy of the genetic code in two manners: having more than one tRNA (with a specific anti-codon) for a particular amino acid; and 'wobble' base-pairing, i.e. permitting non-standard base-pairing at the 3rd anti-codon position. The record is from Rfam.
GUGGAUAUAGUUUAAUUGGUAAAACAUAUGUUUUAGGGACAUAUAUCUUCAGUUCAAAACUGAAUAUCUACA